Hyaena hyaena (striped hyena) is the source of this 1133-nucleotide long non-coding RNA. RefSeq lists it as uncharacterized. The transcript has 3 exons. Lineage: Eukaryota; Metazoa; Chordata; Mammalia; Carnivora; Hyaenidae. The record is from RefSeq and is a predicted model, not a curated record.
AGGGAUGUAAUUUAGAGAAAAACAAAUGGCAACAAUCUAGAUGGCAAAAAGAGUGAAAAUUGCUGCAGGCCUGAAGAAGGGGAGCAGUUACAGCAGUGGGAAUGGCAGAAACUCCACUCAGAUCUAUUACCCCGACUCCCCUGUGAAAAGACACAUUUUCCCCAAAUCACCAAUUCUACAGGAAAAGUCUCAGCAUUAAACUGAAAGAAGAAAUGUUGAAUUUCAACAAGAAAAGCAACACUAAACGCUCCGAAACAAUUUUAUGAUAUUGAUUGGAAAUGGAAGCAAUAGAAAGUAUUGGCAAGAAGAAUAAUCAAUUAUAUAGACAUUAGUCUUGUACAAAGGUGGGUGUGGUAGGUUGGGAUGAGAAAACAUGUUUCAUUUAUAUCAUAGUUAAUAUGAAGUGAUAAUAUUAAUCUUUGUAACCAAUUGUAACUUACAGAACUUGAAAAAUUCUCAGGAUCAGUUUAUGUGUGAUGACAGUAAAAGACAACACACUAUUUCAUGCUUUGACUUUUUUGAUUUUACCAGACACAAAGGAGACUUAGGAGUCACGAGAAUGAGUACAGUGUGAUUCUGAGUUGAAUUCAACUUCAAGUUCAGUGCACUACCAAUAUGCCAACGUUCCUUCAGUUUUAUUCUAUUGGUUUCUGACUGAAUGGAAACUGUUAUCUAUUUUGUCUUGAACAAUGGAUGUUAAUUACAAAAGUUAUUUUAAAAAACAAACCAAGAAAAAUAGACUGAAGCUCCUGGGAGGUACUGCAAAGGCAAGUAGAUUCAUGCAUUAGCAGGAAAGGAUGUGGUUUAAAAAAACCCAAAAACUGAAUAAAACAUACAAUGUUUAGAGCUGUAUGAUAUUCCCUAUUAGGCUGAAAAUCUGUUGUACAGGGAAAACAUUAUUUUAGCCAAUUCGAUAGAAAUUUGGAAAUUAAUGCAUUGAUGGCAGGAAAAGAAUUAUAAACAAAUAUAUUAGGAGACAUUUGAAGUAUUUAUACUUAGGUUGAAUAUUUAAAAUUUUUAUUUACAUAACUUGUACUGAUACAUAUGUUUUUAUUUGUAUUUUUGCAGUAAGAUUUUUGAAGAGGGAUCUUUAAUAUGUAAAUAUUAUAAAAUCUAAUAAUCUGAAACUGUAA